This 408-nucleotide ribosomal RNA is filed under the name uncultured bacterium. RNAcentral's name for it is "partial 16S ribosomal RNA". It matches the Rfam family "Bacterial small subunit ribosomal RNA", at positions 28 to 526 of the family's 1533-position model. The record is from RNAcentral.
GACGAACGCUGGCGGCGUGCUUAACACAUGCAAGUCGAACGAAGUGGCGAACGGGUGAGUAACGCGUAAUCAACCUGCCCUUCAGAGGGGGACAACAGUUGGAAACGACUGCUAAUACCGCAUACUGAAGGAGGGGAUUGCGUCUGAUUAGCUGGUUGGAGGGGUAACGGCUCACCAAGGCGAUGGUCAGUAGCCGGUCUGGGAGGGAGAACGGCCACACUGGGACUGGAACACGGCCCAGACCCCUACGGGAAGCAGCAGUGGGGGAUCUUACGAAAUGGAAGAAAGUCUGACGGAGCAACGGCGCGUGAGUGAGGAGGGCCUUCGGGUUGUAAAGCUCUGUUAAUCGGGACGCGGUACCGGAAUAGAAAGCCACGGCUAACUACGUGCCAGCAGCCGCGGUAAUUC